Molecule: ribosomal RNA, 518 nt
Filed under: Microbacterium profundi
Lineage: Bacteria; Bacillati; Actinomycetota; Actinomycetes; Micrococcales; Microbacteriaceae
Description: bacterial SSU rRNA
Rfam family: Bacterial small subunit ribosomal RNA
Source: RNAcentral
UUGCUGGGUGGAUCAGUGGCGAACGGGUGAGUACACGUGAGCAACCUGCCCCUGACUCUGGGAUAAGCGCUGGAAACGGCGUCUAAUACUGGAUACGAACAGCGACCGCAUGGUCAGUUGUUGGAAAGAAUUUCGGUUGGGGAUGGGCUCGCGGCCUAUCAGCUUGUUGGUGAGGUAAUGGCUCACCAAGGCGUCGACGGGUAGCCGGCCUGAGAGGGUGACCGGCCACACUGGGACUGAGACACGGCCCAGACUCCUACGGGAGGCAGCAGUGGGGAAUAUUGCACAAUGGGCGCAAGCCUGAUGCAGCAACGCCGCGUGAGGGAUGACGGCCUUCGGGUUGUAAACCUCUUUUAGCAGGGAAGAAGCGAAAGUGACGGUACCUGCAGAAAAAGCACCGGCUAACUACGUGCCAGCAGCCGCGGUAAUACGUAGGGUGCAAGCGUUAUCCGGAAUUAUUGGGCGUAAAGAGCUCGUAGGCGGUUUGUCGCGUCUGCUGUGAAAUCUGGGGGCUCAAC